This 45-nucleotide non-coding RNA is filed under the name Schistosoma mattheei. The record is from RNAcentral. Lineage: Eukaryota; Metazoa; Platyhelminthes; Trematoda; Strigeidida; Schistosomatidae.
AGCCAGUUGACGAGUCCCAACUGGGACGAAACGCGCGUCGUGGAU